GAGGAAUAUUGGUCAAUGGACGGAAGUCUGAACCAGCCAAGUAGCGUGCAGGAUGACGGCCCUAUGGGUUGUAAACUGCUUUUGUAUGGGGAUAAAGUUAGGGACGUGUCCCUAUUUGCAGGUACCAUACGAAUAAGGACCGGCUAAUUCCGUGCCAGCAGCCGCGGUAAUACGGAAGGCCCAGGUGUUAUCCGGAUUUAUUGGGUUUAAAGGGAGCGUAGGCUGGAGAUUAAGUGUGUUGUGAAAUGUAGACGCUCAACGUCUGAAUUGCAGCGCAUACUGGUUUCCUUGAGUACGCACAACGUUGGCGGAAUUCGUCGUGUAGCGGUGAAAUGCUUAGAUAUGACGAAGAACUCCGAUUGCGAAGGCAGCUGACGGGAGCGCAACUGACGCUUAAGCUCGAAGGUGCGGGUAUCGAACAGGAUUAGAUACCCUGGUAGUCCGCACAGUAAACGAUGGAUGCCCGCUGUUGGUACCUGGUAUCAGCGGCUAAGCGAAAGCAUUAAGUAUACCACCUGGGGAGUACGCCGGCAACGGUG
Molecule: ribosomal RNA, 539 nt
Filed under: uncultured bacterium
Lineage: Bacteria
Description: bacterial SSU rRNA
Rfam family: Bacterial small subunit ribosomal RNA
Source: RNAcentral